GACGAACGCUGGCGGCGUGCUUAACACAUGCAAGUCGAACGGAAAGGCCCUGCUUUUGUGGGGUGCUCGAGUGGCGAACGGGUGAGUAACACGUGAGUAACCUGCCCUUGACUUUGGGAUAACUUCAGGAAACUGGGGCUAAUACCGGAUAGGAGCUCCUGCUGCAUGGUGGGGGUUGGAAAGUUUCGGCGGUUGGGGAUGGACUCGCGGCUUAUCGGCUUGUUGGUGGGGUAGUGGCUUACCAAGGCUUUGACGGGUAGCCGGCCUGAGAGGGUGACCGGCCACAUGACGACUGCGAUACGGCCCAGACUCCUAUGGGAGGCAGCGGGGGGGAAUAUUGCACAAUGGGCGGGAGCCUGAUGCAGCAACGCCGCGUGCGGGAUGACGGCCUUCGGGUUGUAAACCGCUUUCGCCUGUGACGAAGCGUGAGUGACGGUAAUGGGUAAAGAAGCACCGGCUAACUACGUG
This 468-nucleotide ribosomal RNA is filed under the name uncultured bacterium. RNAcentral describes it as "partial 16S ribosomal RNA". It matches the Rfam family "Bacterial small subunit ribosomal RNA", at positions 28 to 507 of the family's 1533-position model. The record is from RNAcentral.